GAUUCCUUGGUGUAGUGGUUAUCACAUCCGCUUAACACGCGGAAGGACCUGGGUUCAAUCCCCAGUGGAAUCA
This 73-nucleotide transfer RNA is filed under the name Dreissena polymorpha. Its description in RNAcentral is "transfer RNA valine (anticodon AAC)". It matches the Rfam family "tRNA". From Rfam's summary of the family: Transfer RNA (tRNA) molecules are approximately 80 nucleotides in length. Their secondary structure includes four short double-helical elements and three loops (D, anti-codon, and T loops). Lineage: Eukaryota; Metazoa; Mollusca; Bivalvia; Myida; Dreissenidae. The record is from Rfam by way of RNAcentral.